This 334-nucleotide ribosomal RNA is filed under the name uncultured bacterium. RNAcentral's name for it is "bacterial SSU rRNA". It matches the Rfam family "Bacterial small subunit ribosomal RNA", at positions 28 to 362 of the family's 1533-position model. The record is from RNAcentral.
GAUGAACGCUAGCGGCAGGCUUAACACAUGCAAGUCGAGGGGUAUAGUUCUUCGGAAUUAGAGACCGGCGCACGGGUGCGUAACGCGUAUGCAAUCUACCUUUCACAGAGGGAUAGCCCCAGAGAAAUUUGGAUUAAUACCUCAUAGUAUAGCAGUUUCGCAUGAAACCACUAUUAAAGUCACAACGGUGAAAGAUGAGCAUGCGUCCCAUUAGCUAGUUGGUAAGGUAACGGCUUACCAAGGCAACGAUGGGUAGGGGUCCUGAGAGGGAGAUCCCCCACACUGGUACUGAGACACGGACCCAGACUCCUACGGGAGGCGAGCAGUGAGGAAU